Long non-coding RNA from Onychostoma macrolepis, 979 nucleotides. RefSeq lists it as uncharacterized. The record is from RefSeq and is a predicted model, not a curated record. NCBI's taxonomy places the organism in Eukaryota, Metazoa, Chordata, Actinopteri, Cypriniformes, Cyprinidae. The transcript has 4 exons.
CGUUCAGGCCAGUGCAUUGUAGAUGGAAUGCCCCGCAGCAUUGCCCUUCACAGAGAAGGAGGUCUCCCUGCUUCUCACAUGCCUUCAGAAACAGACAGUCAUUGAGAACACAAGCCAUAACUAGAUUCAACCAUCUGAAUGAAAUGAAAUGCCACAUAUUCAGAAAAAGAGAAAGCCAUAUGAGGAACAUUUCUGGAUCUCAGCUGACCUGGUUCGCCUGAGCUCGGCCCAUCUCCAAUGUCUGCUCUCCAGGCCAGAGCAAAGGGCAGACCUGCGGGGCAGGACACGACGAAAGUGUCCCGGCAACGGUCUGCCCUGCGGGAUGAGUCUGUUCACUCCUCUUUUGUAGACAAAAGCUAGAGGUCUCAGUUUGGCCUCUGCACAAAGACACUGUGCUACUCUUGGCAGAACUAUAAACAUCCUUUCCUUUAUAUGGGACACUUGCCGAUGGUUAAGGAAGGACUGGAAUAAACAGCGCCAAGAUGUUCUUCCUCUCCUAAAUCUCAUAUAUCCAAUUAAUUAGUUUAUUAAGGUGGGGGAAAACGUGUGCACCUCCUCUCGGUUGUUUCCAGACAGGUUUAAUGUGCAUUUAAGGCUGAACAAUGGCCUGCUCAUUCAUAUGCAAAAGCGAGGUAUAUGGAGCAAGCCAGUUUUUGUGGGCAAUGACUCAGACACCGAUUGAGGGGCAGUGGGGCAUGACGAGAGGCCCUCCCCGUAUCUGCCCGUCGCAGCUCUCUCUGCUCCGAAAAAAAGAAAGGGCUGGUCUCUACCCGGUGGGGUGGAGUGGGGGGGAGAGGACAAAGAGCACAGCCGUGAAAUGGCGCUUGUAAAAGACUGGCACCGGCCCCCUCAUUGAGAUGUCAAUCUGAAUCGUGGUUCUGUGGGAUGAGGCCUGUCAUAUAGCUGUUGAUGAGACAGUAGAGGGUUUAGGGCUCCUCGCUGGUGUGGGUGGACAGGGGCGGAUCACGAUCUGAUGCUG